Molecule: long non-coding RNA, 3264 nt
Filed under: Cairina moschata (Muscovy duck)
Lineage: Eukaryota; Metazoa; Chordata; Aves; Anseriformes; Anatidae
Description: domestica (muscovy Duck (domestic type)) lncRNA (ENSCMMG00000013232.1)
Source: RNAcentral
CAAGCUGGACCACUGCAGGGCCCCUGCUGUCCCCAAACGGCUUCUCCGCUUUGAUGGGCUGUGGCUGCCCUUCACUCACCAGGCUCUGGUCUCCUUUGGCUGACAGCGGGGCCUCGACGCUGCUCGUGGAUGGGCUCCUUGGGGCCAGGUGAGGGUUGAGGUCAAAGAUGAGCUGGAGAUCCACCUGCUUGCCCUUGUUGGUCCCUUUCUCGAUCCACUCAACAGUGAUGCUGGAGGUGCUUUCAUGAAGCUCUGUCACCAGCGCUGGAUGGAUGCGCCCAUCGCUGCGCUUGAUCUCCACGUAGGUGCCCAGCUGGAUGAGCCCGAACUCCCCGGCCAUGCUGUCUCUGGGCACUGGCCACAGCCGUGGAGUGGAGGAGCCCCUGGCUGGGACAGGCAGGGCUGGAGUCCCCUGGGGCUCUGUGUUCCAACGCCCAGUGUCCUGUCACAAUGGCCCUCAUGGCUACAGAACCGGCUUGAACAUAUAUGUGUUUUUAACCAGCUUCUAUGGCUAGAAGGAACAUAUAAAGCUGCCACCACCCGAAAAGGCCUAUUUGAGUAUCCAAGCUGGCACACAGCUGCUGUGACACAUCGUGUCCAAUUAGAUGCAAUACCUUGUUGCUGUCAAAGACAUUGAGAUCCUUACGUGAGGGAUAGCCCAGCUCCAUCUGAUUAUUUGUCCUUGCAUCUUUAAGAAAUAUUUGCAUAGGGCUACUUUAUAAUUCCAGUAAGACACCCAAGCCUGUGAAUUAUAGUGCAGUAAUUCACACCUGCUGCAUUUAACAGCACUCGGCCUUCUGCCUUUCUCUAACAGUACCUUCUUGUGAAUUAUUGCUCCAUAAGUCACCCCCAGGAGCAUCUUGCUCCCUCAUCAUGUUGGCAUCUAAUUGCAGCAGUUCUCUGGUGUGAUUUUGUACAUGAGAGUUAAUAUUUAUACAAGUGCAUCACAUAGAGUAUGAUUUUUAGAAAGCCUGUACUUGGCUUGAGAUUGCAUGUUUUAAACCCUGACAACUACUAAUGGUUUUGAUGGCUAUGCAUUUUCAGCAAGCUUUUAUCAUCAAACACAAAUGAGGAAAACAAGAGAUUAGACCAACACAGUGAUCAAUUAACCAGUAAUUCAAAGGAAUGUAAAAGUGUAAUUUAAACUGUAAAAUCCUCUUCCUGAACUACAAGGGUGCCUGUAUAUACACAUGUUACCUUAGAGAGGUGUUUAAGUCCUUGACAAAUGUGGAAUGUCACAGCCAGAGCCCUAACCUGAUGUCCCAGGCGCCCUGUGACACCAGAGCAGCUUCGCAUGCCAACCCAAACGUUUGGAGACACCAAAGCCCCUUCCACUUCUCCCAGCCAAGUGCCAUCUUAAAUCAGGACUCAAAGGAAGAGGACACUGUGAGGUUAAUUUUGUCUGUUUUCAUAUCUCAAGUAGCAAAUUAACUGGAACUGCUGCUUUAGUGCUCCAAUUUCCCUGCAGUGUCCUGGAGAAGAAAAGCAUGCAUCUGGCAGAAAAGGCUGAAUUCUUAUCACGGUAGUAAAUAGUCAUCCCCAUAAUAUGGCAAAAAGUUCAUGCUGGAUUAGAAUUGAAGAAUCAUCAAAAGGAAAUUUUGCUACAGAGCUGAAUGCUACAGUGUAAUCAAGAUUCACGUCCUCAGGUAUUUUUAGAAAGGUUAUUUACUGACCAGCAUUAAGGCAGCAUCUAAAGGCCUUACAUCAGGACUCUGUUGUGCUAAGCAGCAUGUAAAUAUUUCCAGAGAAAGACAAUUUUUCUUCGGUGUGUUUUUUGCUGGGGUUAUAGGCAGUAAUUUCAAAGUGGAGAGGAAGGGAAAGGAAGAGGAUGGUGUCUCUUGGGAGGAGAGGGGAUCAGCCUUUUUCCAGAGUCUUUAAAGCUUUUGUUUAUCUACACAGAAGCCCUGAAACAAACGCUAAUACAUACUGUGCAGCAGCUUAAAAACUUGUAACUUAUUCAAACACCCUUCAAAUAAUUUGCAAACAUACAUGAGGUUUUUUGUUUGUACUUUAUAAAAUACUACCACAUUACAAAAGAAAGUAAAGGAUUUGCUGCUGCUAUGAGUCAUCAGAGAAUAAAUGCAAUGUGCAGCAGCAAAGAUACAUAACGCGUGGCCUGCUAAAAGAAGAUGCUUUAGUAUCACAGGAUGUAAAAAACGUCCCACAUUUCUUCUGUUGCUUUUCCACUGCUACCCAGCUAACUGUCAGCUCGCCCUACGUGCAAAAAGCUGUGGUCACAACCCUCCACAUUAAUACAGACAACCAGUCCUUCCUGCCAAAAAACAGCAUUCAGAUGAAACGUGAUGAGGCAAACAACAGUUUGUAUUUCACACUUCAUGGGAGCUGUACGGAUGCUCAGAUCUGCCCACACAAGCUUCAUGCAAGACCAAGAUCCGAAUCAUAAUUUAUAAAAAAGAAAAAAAGAAACCGAGUGAAAAUACACGCACAAAAAAACCCCAAGCCUUCAUAAGGGAAACAACUGCUGUUCUUCAAGUGGGGAAGCACAGAUGGGGCCUACCAUACCGAGGAGCCUAAAGGACUUGCAUCCUUCUGUGGAGAAGUGGGACCACUGCCAACUCCUCACAUUUCUAAUAGAGCUAAACUGUGCUCCUCUGAGCAAUGGAAACAACUUUCAUUCAUCUUAUGAAGUAAAAAAAAAAAAAAAAGAUAAUUAUUGGUGUCAUUAUAAAAGAGGAUAAAUUCCAGCAAACUCAAUGAAAGUUGUGGAUUACAAUGAGUUACUAAAAACAAUGAAAGCAGUAUAUUCUCUUCUCAAUGUUUUAAUGGGACACAGUCAAUUUUUAUUAUCAUGUAUUUACUAGUCUUCCCAGCAGAAAACAGUAUUUAAAAUUAAUGUAACUAAUCUGAAAAUCAGAGUGAAUACUGCUAAUUCACACAGCGGUUUAGUUAGGCCUAAUUCAUUUCAUAGCUAGAAACAUUCUGCGAAUGUUUAAUACAUGGAGAAGCUUUUAGUAACAAACUCCAAUUACUGAAUCCUUCUGACUAUCUUCGACUGGCUGAACGUGUAAACAGUCUUGUACUUAAAUGCUCCAAGAUCCCCUGUACAAGACUUUCAUUAAAAAAAAACUUAGGGAGCUCUGCAGUUGUGUAAUUGUUUUAAGCCUUAGCAUUUCAAAGGACUUAACCAAUGUUAAUUAAAAUCUGAUCCUACUCUAAGAGAUGGUUUUCAUUCGUUACCUGGAUCUACGACUCUGAGCCCUCCUCCCUGCAGUCAGGUACCAGGUCUGUGCUAAGCUCCAGCAA